GAUCCUGGCUCAGGAUGAACGCUAGCUACAGGCUUAACACAUGCAAGUCGAGGGGCAGCUUGAAAGGAACUUUGGUUCUUUUUGAUGGCGACCGGCGCACGGGUGCGUAACGCGUAUCGAACCUGCCUCAUACUCGGGGAUAGCCUUGCGAAAGUAAGAUUAAUACCCGGCGGUCUCGGAUGGCCGCAUGACUAUCCGAGUGAAGAUUUAUCGGUAUGAGAUGGCGAUGCGUCCCAUUAG
This 240-nucleotide ribosomal RNA is filed under the name uncultured bacterium. RNAcentral describes it as "partial 16S ribosomal RNA". It matches the Rfam family "Bacterial small subunit ribosomal RNA", at positions 15 to 244 of the family's 1533-position model. The record is from RNAcentral.